This is a non-coding RNA of Cricetulus griseus (Chinese hamster), 777 nucleotides long. The record is from RefSeq and is a predicted model, not a curated record. Lineage: Eukaryota; Metazoa; Chordata; Mammalia; Rodentia; Cricetidae.
GCAUUUGAACCUAAUACAAGUUUCUGUGUAUUCAUUUGGGCCCUAACUCGAGCAGGCGGCUGGCAUAAAGCCCCAAUGUGGCAGUGGGGCUCGGCAGCUUUUGGCGGAAAGAUUUAUCGUAACAUGCUUGGUCCACAUUGUCACAACUUUCAGAUGCACUAUAAGAUGUUUUCCCAGAAAAAGAGCAUCAGGGCCAAGGGACAAUGAUGCAUCUUGAUAAGCAGACACAACUUACAAUUUUAAAUAAUAGAUUGGUUUGUUUUAAUAAAUUUAAGAAACCUAAUUUAUAUUCUUGGAUGAAACCAUGAGCCUUGCAUGCAUAUACUCUGAAAGAGACUAUAAGAUUGUGUGUGUUUUUCCCUUUGGUAAUAUUGGCAAUAGGUCAUGGGUGAUGUAGGAGGCUGAGCUAAAAGCAGAGGUUGACUUAAGUCAUGUCUUUGUAAAACUACUUACAUUCUUUAUUAAAAAAUAUUUUAUUUUAUAUUUUUGCACACAAGUGUUUUGCUUGUGUAUAUGUCUAUGUACCACGUGUCGCCUGGUGCUCUCAGAAGCAGGAGGAUGGCAUCAGUUUACCUGUAACUGAAGUUACAGAUGUUUGUGAGCUGCCAUGUGGGUGCUGGUAGUUGCAUCCAGUUUCUCUGGAAGAAGGUAUUUCCUGUUUUGUCAUGAUUUGUAUGAAACUUCAUUGAAAAACUGUGUAGUUCAAGAAUUUCUCCUAUCUCUCUGAGCCUUCAUCCAGCAGCUGAUGGAAGUAGAAGCAGACACCCAUGGCUAAAC